Molecule: small nucleolar RNA, 213 nt
Organism: Alligator mississippiensis (American alligator)
Lineage: Eukaryota; Metazoa; Chordata; Crocodylia; Alligatoridae
Rfam family: Small nucleolar RNA U3
About the family: Small nucleolar RNAs (snoRNAs) are involved in the processing and modification of rRNA in the nucleolus.
Source: Rfam
AAGGUUGUAUUUUCAGGGAUUAUUUCUAUAGUUGGUUCCUAGAGACAGGUGUGUGCUAGUGUUUGGUUUUGCUAGCCACAAUGAAGAAUCAUAGUGGUUUCUUCUGAGUGUGAAAUUAGUAGGCAGUGCUGUUUGUGUACAGCUGUUGCUUAUGCUUGAUUACUGUUCAGCUUCUUCUAGGGAGCUGAAGGAAAAGAGUACAGGCUGAGUGAU